GACGAACGCUGGCGGCGUGCCUAAUACAUGCAAGUCGAGCGCUGAGGGCUGGUCCUUGUACCAACUGGAUGAGCAGCGAACGGGUGAGUAACGCGUGGGGAAUCUGCCUUUGAGCGGGGGACAACAUUUGGAAACGAAUGCUAAUACCGCAUAAAAACUUUAAACACAAGGUUUAAGUUUGAAAGACGCAAUUGCAUGACGUAAAGGUGAUCCCCCGGUGUCUUAGCUAGGUGGUGAGGUAAAGGCGCACCAAGGCGAGGUUACAUAGCCCACCUGAGAGGGCGGGCAGCCCCACUGGGAGUGGGACACGGCACAAACUCCUUGGGGAGGCAGCAGUAGGGGAACUUCGGGCAGGGACGAAAGGCUGAACGCGGAACGCCGGGUGAGUGAAGAAUGUUGUCGGGUCGUAAAACUCGGUUGGUAGGGAAGAACGUUGGUUAGAGUGGAACGCGCAUCAAGUGACGGUAACUAGUCAGAAAGCGACGGCUAACUACGUG
RNAcentral lists this ribosomal RNA (497 nucleotides) under uncultured bacterium. RNAcentral describes it as "partial 16S ribosomal RNA". It matches the Rfam family "Bacterial small subunit ribosomal RNA", at positions 28 to 507 of the family's 1533-position model. The record is from RNAcentral.